This 250-nucleotide ribosomal RNA is filed under the name uncultured bacterium. Its description in RNAcentral is "partial 16S ribosomal RNA". It matches the Rfam family "Bacterial small subunit ribosomal RNA", at positions 524 to 774 of the family's 1533-position model. The record is from RNAcentral.
UACGUAGGGGGCAAGCGUUGUCCGGAAUUAUUGGGCGUAAAGCGCGCGCAGGCGGUUUGGAAAGUCUGGUGUUUAAGGCUGAGGCUCAACCUCAGUUCGCACUGGAAACUGUCAGACUUGAGUACAGAAGAGGAAAGUGGAAUUCCACGUGUAGCGGUGAAAUGCGUAGAGAUGUGGAGGAACACCAGUGGCGAAGGCGACUUUCUGGGCUGUAACUGACGCUGAGGCGCGAAAGCGUGGGGAGCAAACA